AUUGAACCAUGGCAUCACGGAAUGAACAUUGGGUUAGGAAUCCGGAGUUCUGAGUCCACAUCCUGCCCCUGGGAUAACAGCAUUUUGAAUGUGAACAUUACUUCUGAGAAGCAUAAGAUGCCACACAAAUGCAAUAUGUUAUAAUUAUUGGUGGAAGGAAAAGAGAGUACAAUCGCAGAUAAUUUCUGAAAUCUGGGCCAAGGACCAGAGCCCGGUUGGUGCCGGAGAUUUCAGAAAUGAAUCCAGUGCCAAUGCUUGUGUGAAGGAAGGAGACUGAUCCUCUGGAUUUGCAGAGGCCUGGAAAAUACCUUCAGUGAUGAAAAACAUCUAUUUGGACUCAGCAGCCUCCAAUAAGUAGGCGGAUUAUCCAGCUUCCUUCAUUCAGAACUGACUGGACUUGUUGGACGACUUCAUAACUAUCAGGAAGGAAGAAGAAGGGAUGUGCGUGUUCAGUCUAGUGCAAAUAGAAAACACGCUGAGAUGGAGGAUGGCGAGACGAGCGUCUUUCUAUAUGAAGGGCUGGGGCAUAAAGCAGUUAAGAAACUGAACUGUGACGGAGCCAAGAUUUGAACCCCACUCGGCUGAGUCUUAGCCAGCAUUGCCUUUGAGGAUGGCUCGGUCUUUCCCCACUUUCCAUGGCUCUUCUUGCAGAAUUCUCAGCUGACUGGGUAGGACUGAAGCACCCUGAAGCGGAGAAGGAUUUGGACUCAGUAGAAAGGAGGGGGAAGCAUUCCAGGUGGGUAGCUGUGAGUUUACGGGUGGCUGUCUGAGGAGGGACUGAAACCCUGAGCAAUGUCGUCAGCCUCAGCCACCUCACGCCCCUGUGCUGCAGCCACCCUGAAUUUUCCCACUCUGAACCCACUGGGCGAUUUCUGCUGCUUUGUCUGCCUUUGCAAAGCUUUUCCCUCUGCCUGGACCACACUUUUGCGAUGGUGUAUAAUAAACUGAUUGUAGAAGACAGAGUUUAUUUUCAAAAGGAAGUUUUAUUCUCCCAUACUUAGCC
RNAcentral lists this long non-coding RNA (1003 nucleotides) under Equus caballus (horse). RNAcentral's name for it is "lncRNA (ENSECAG00000057132.1)". Lineage: Eukaryota; Metazoa; Chordata; Mammalia; Perissodactyla; Equidae. The record is from RNAcentral.